ACUAUACAGAACAUCUCGUUCGGAAUUCAGGCUGUAUAGGAGUUAGUGAGGACUGAAGAGAGGAGAGUUAAACAAACAAACAAACACACAGGGCAAGAAAACAGGACCCAACAGCAGACACUGACACCCUCCCUAUCUGCAGUGCAGAGUGAUUCCAAGACCCACACGCGACAUUCCGUGUCUCAGGAAAGGUGGUACCCACCCCAAGCUCAGCCAAGAACGGCUUCCACUCCGGCUUAAUUUUCCGAACCUGUUCUUGUGAUGCUGUUAGGGAGGGUGGCCGGGAAGAGAGGAGAGACCACUGAUCAAGUUGCUGUUUGUUUAUUGGUUGAUUUUUUUUUUUUUUUUUUUUUUUUUAUGGGCCCCUGGCCGAGGAUGAGCUAAGAAGCCUUUUGCGUACCUUGACCUAACCUCACUCAUCCUUCCACACUUCUACACCCUUUUCCUUCCUGCGCGGGGUCCUGAGCGGGUCUAAAUCAAGCAGUGCUUAGAACCUCCCACAACGGGCCUUCAACCAUAUUUGGAAGAAAAGAAGGAAUCCAGAGAGGAAAUGGUUACCUGUGCUUACAGGCGGGCUGCACCACAAGUGCUGACUCAGCAAGAGGGAUCUCUGCGUACCCCUGUCCAGAAAGCCUCUUGAGCAAGGAUGUCAGAAGACUAAAAUGGAAGGACAGUCUCUGAGGGCCCUGGAGCAGGGUAGGAACCUACAUGAGAUAGUCAUUUGCUACCUGCAUUUGGAAGCAUAUACAUUAUUAUGGUUGUUACCAUUUAUAGUAGUAUACUUUGAAGUUGUCCAUCGAAUCUGGACGCAUACUCAAUUUGAAAAUAAAUGAAACCUAAAGGAACAUAGGUGACCAUGAGGGAUUCCAGGGAAUGUUCUCUGGGACGGAACUCUGUGAAGAGGAGGCCUCUAGGGUCAAGCUAUUCAUCAUGGAUACAGCCUUAGAUCCAGGAUCCUCUGGUGCAGUAUUUCCAGGAUAUUAGUGGGGGACUGUGGACCAUUCAAGCCUUGGAACAAGUCUAGCCCAACGACUGUCUAACUUUGCUGCUGACAGAAGCCUGACCCAGCCCUGACCUCGUAGACCUUAUAGGAAUAUGUUCUCAGCUCACUGCUCCACAUUUCUGACUCUGUGACCUCACCAAACAAACACCUGCCUAUCUCAGAGCAUUGUAUCUAUUCAUGUUGAUUUCUGUCUCUUUCUUAUUAGUCUUUUGCACAAACCAUGAACUGGAUGAAAGCUAGAACGGGAUCGUUUGGGUUCUGUGGGGGGGACAUCAGAACUUAACCGUGGACCUGACUUGCAUCUGGCACAGCCUGCUCGCCAGCUCCUAUUCCCUUGCCCACCUGUUCUUUGACCUUGAACGCCCAACCCCUUUUUCUUGGCUUCAGUAUCGUUCUCUCUAAGAGCAGAGAUUAGGAUUAAUAAAUCUAUGAUGUGCUUGUCACAGGGACUAAUG
Molecule: long non-coding RNA, 1458 nt
Filed under: Mus caroli (Ryukyu mouse)
Lineage: Eukaryota; Metazoa; Chordata; Mammalia; Rodentia; Muridae
Description: lncRNA (MGP_CAROLIEiJ_G0005314.1)
Source: RNAcentral